CAGCCGCCGCGGUAAUACGGAGGGUGCAAGCGUUAAUCGGAAUUACUGGGCGUAAAGCGCACGCAGGCGGUCUGUCAAGUCAGAUGUGAAAUCCCCGGGCUUAACCUGGGAACUGCAUUUGAAACUGGCAGGCUAGAGUCUUGUAGAGGGGGGUAGAAUUCCAGGUGUAGCGGUGAAAUGCGUAGAGAUCUGGAGGAAUACCGAUGGCGAAGGCAGCCAUCUGGCCUAACACUGACGCUGAGGUACGAAAGCAUGGGGAGCAAACAGGAUUAGAUACCCCUGUAGUCCCUGUCUCUUAUAC
RNAcentral lists this ribosomal RNA (301 nucleotides) under uncultured bacterium. RNAcentral describes it as "partial 16S ribosomal RNA". It matches the Rfam family "Bacterial small subunit ribosomal RNA", at positions 509 to 807 of the family's 1533-position model. The record is from RNAcentral.